UACGGAGGGUGCGAGCGUUAAUCGGAAUUACUGGGCGUAAAGCGCGCGUAGGCGGCUUGAUAAGCCGGUUGUGACAGCCCCGGGCUCAACCUGGGAACGGCAUCCGGAACUGUCAGGCUAGAGUGCAGGAGAGGAGGGUAGAAUUCCCGGUGUAGCGGUGAAAUGCGUAGAGAUCGGGAGGAAUACCGGUGGCGAAGGCGGCCUUCUGGACAGAAACUGACGCUGAGGUGCGAAAGCGUGGGUAGCAAACAGG
Molecule: unclassified non-coding RNA, 253 nt
Filed under: uncultured Halomonadaceae bacterium
Lineage: Bacteria; Pseudomonadati; Pseudomonadota; Gammaproteobacteria; Oceanospirillales; Halomonadaceae
Description: contains 16S-23S intergenic spacer region
Rfam family: Bacterial small subunit ribosomal RNA
Source: RNAcentral